This 72-nucleotide transfer RNA is filed under the name Gorgonocephalus chilensis. RNAcentral's name for it is "tRNA-Ile". Lineage: Eukaryota; Metazoa; Echinodermata; Ophiuroidea; Euryalida; Gorgonocephalidae. The record is from RNAcentral.
AGGUAAGUCUCUUCUGGUAGAGAAAAGUAGCCGAUAACUACUUUUUGUUUAGUUCAACUCUAAUCUUACCUU